This is a long non-coding RNA of Mugil cephalus (flathead mullet), 268 nucleotides long. RefSeq lists it as uncharacterized. NCBI's taxonomy places the organism in Eukaryota, Metazoa, Chordata, Actinopteri, Mugiliformes, Mugilidae. The record is from RefSeq and is a predicted model, not a curated record. The transcript has 3 exons.
GAAUUGGGCAAGGUUGAGGAACUCCUGAAUGAAUGUAAAGGUUACCAGAAUGUUCUGUUAAAGGUGAUGAAUACAGAGAGGCAAGAAGCCCCAGAAGCAGAGACUUUUAAAGCUCGAGUCUUAUCCAACUUAGAAUCUUUUGAGAUUCAUGAAACCACAGUUACCCAGGGUUUGGAGACCUCUCCAGAUAGCGUGCCAUCUUCAGACAAAAAGCCCACGCUGUCCUCAGCCCCCAGCAACACUCUUGUCACAGAUUCUAACCUGGAAA